AACGAACGCUGGCGGCAUGCCUAACACAUGCAAGUCGAACGAUUGCCUUCGGGUGAUAGUGGCGCACGGGUGCGUAACGCGUGGGAAUCUGCCCUUAGGUUCGGAAUAACAGCUGGAAACGGCUGCUAAUACCGGAUGAUAUCGCGAGAUCAAAGAUUUUUCGCCUGAGGAUGAGCCCGCGUUGGAUUAGGUAGUUGGUGGGGUAAAGGCCUACCAAGCCGACGAUCCAUAGCUGGUCUGAGAGGAUGAUCAGCCACACUGGGACUGAGACACGGCCCAGACUCCUACGGGAGGCAGCAGUGGGGAAUAUUGGACAAUGGGCGCAAGCCUGAUCCAGCAAUGCCGCGUGAGUGAUGAAGGCCCUAGGGUUGUAAAGCUCUUUUACCCGGGAAGAUAAUGACUGUACCGGGAGAAUAAGCCCCGGCUAACUCCGUG
This 435-nucleotide ribosomal RNA is filed under the name uncultured bacterium. RNAcentral describes it as "partial 16S ribosomal RNA". It matches the Rfam family "Bacterial small subunit ribosomal RNA", at positions 29 to 507 of the family's 1533-position model. The record is from RNAcentral.